GCGAGAAGGUCUCCCCUCAGCCUCCUUUUCUCCAGGCUGACAGUCCUCUCUGUUGGGGGGUGGGUGUGUGUGUGCUAAAACCACAUGAUGCUUUCAGAAAUACUACCCAGGCCUCCAUCUCCCUCCACCCCUCGGCCUCUUUUCUCCUUUCAGUGCCAUCAAGAACAUGACCGACAGCAGCGUGUACUUCAAGAGCAUCGACAGCCUCCUCAAACACGCCAUCGCCAUGAAGGACCAGCUCAACGCCGCCCAGGGCCGCAGCGCUGUUGCCCCACAAGGCAAGAAUCCUCCAGCCAGCUCCUGAUUUCAGACAAGACUGGCCAUCCUCUGCUGCCUUUAGAGCCCAGCUCCGCGUUCUCCAGCCACGGGGAGGAGGGAGAAACCACCUGCUCAAUCUGUGAAGCUGCUCAGAGGCCUCUGCCUUCCCCGUAACAAGGUGCUGCACCUGAGCAGGAGAAUCCUGCCACCGGGGUCAGGACUUUUCGGGGUGCUUUGGGGAGCUCAGUCGUGUCCCUUCCCACAGCACUCUGCAACAGGGAAAGAGGGUAGUGUGUUUGUCCUUCCCAGUUUUUUUUUUUUCCAAUGGCAGACUGUUAUGAGGCAUUUUUUUUUCUCUCUACCUCUUGGCCACAGAAGUAUCUCAGAAAAAACUAGGUCUGGCUUUCAGUAUUUUGUAGAUGGCUGUAGAUGUAAUGCAGGCACAUUUGGGCUUUGUUGAGGAGGCAUUCUGCGAGGAGAGUUUUUCAUGUGUGUGCCAGGGAGUUGCUGAAUUUGGUCUUAAGUGGGAACAAUAAUAAAAAGAGGAAAAAAAAAAAAAA
Long non-coding RNA from Calidris pugnax (ruff), 818 nucleotides. RefSeq lists it as uncharacterized. Lineage: Eukaryota; Metazoa; Chordata; Aves; Charadriiformes; Scolopacidae. The transcript is spliced from 2 exons. The record is from RefSeq and is a predicted model, not a curated record.